Molecule: ribosomal RNA, 466 nt
Filed under: Vreelandella stevensii
Lineage: Bacteria; Pseudomonadati; Pseudomonadota; Gammaproteobacteria; Oceanospirillales; Halomonadaceae
Description: partial 16S ribosomal RNA
Rfam family: Bacterial small subunit ribosomal RNA
Source: RNAcentral
CCUACGGGUGGCAGCAGUGGGGAAUAUUGGACAAUGGGCGAAAGCCUGAUCCAGCCAUGCCGCGUGUGUGAAGAAGGCCUUCGGGUUGUAAAGCACUUUCAGUGGGGAAGAAAGCCUUGGGGCUAAUACCCUCGAGGAAGGACAUCACCCACAGAAGAAGCACCGGCUAACUCCGUGCGCAGCAGCCGCGGUAAUACGGAGGGUGCGAGCGUUAAUCGGAAUUACUGGGCGUAAAGCGCGCGUAGGCGGUCUGAUAAGCCGGUUGUGAAAGCCCCGGGCUCAACCUGGGAACGGCAUCCGGAACUGUCAGGCUAGAGUGCAGGAGAGGAAGGUAGAAUUCCCGGUGUAGCGGUGAAAUGCGUAGAGAUCGGGAGGAAUACCAGUGGCGAAGGCGGCCUUCUGGACUGACACUGACGCUGAGGUGCGAAAGCGUGGGUAGCAAACAGGAUUAGAUACCCGAGUAGUC